RNAcentral lists this long non-coding RNA (1272 nucleotides) under Homo sapiens (human). Its description in RNAcentral is "HSALNT0058349". The record is from RNAcentral. Lineage: Eukaryota; Metazoa; Chordata; Mammalia; Primates; Hominidae.
AGCAUAGCAACAGCAGCGUAGCUGAACAUCUUACGGAUGGCCCAGGGCUCCAAAGGCUCGUUUCCUAAGUGAGAGAGAGCCUGGCUGAAGCUGUAUUACCAUUCAUUCUCCAGCCUCCGAAGUCUCAAAGCAUCACUUCCACCAUACUCUAACUGUCAAGACAAACACAAAGGCCCAGGAAAGAAGAAUACACUAUCGAUGUUCCUUUUAAACAAGUAUUUGAGUAAAAGCGAUGUUUCCAAUGUGUGUCAGAAAGUGAAUACUUGUAUAUUUCCGCACGGUUAGAGCUGAGCUUUCCGAGCAAAUUUUACUGGGACCCGGUUGAAAGACAGGUCUUGGAAGUGAAAUGAUGACUGACUAGAUGGACAUUACAUGUAAAUGGAAUCAUACAAUAUGUGAUCUUUUGUGACUGGCUUCUUUCACUUAGCAUAACGUUUUCAAGGAAACUGCCAGACUGUCUUCUGAAGUGGCUAUAAUAUUUACACUCCCAUCAGCAGUGUGAGAAGGGGUCUCACUAUGUUGUCUGGAGUGCUGUGGUGGAGUGGAGUGGCUAUUCACAGGGAUUCUUGGAAUGGACUGUAAAAGUCUGGAAUCAAGACUUUGUGUUUCCUCUCUAACAUGUAAAGAGCUUAGAAGUUGUCGCUAUUGCCCUUACAACAAAAUGAAGCUGGACAAACUGAAAAUCAAUGACUUUUCUUGGACUCACUAUACAGCUGAGUUUGCAGAGUAAACCACUACCCUGAAAUCUGGAAAGGCAGGUGCACCCACAGAUCCUCAGCUGAGAUCCAAUUACCUGAAAUAGAAGCUGCCAUUAGGAACACUUAAAAGGAGCCUGUUCUGCUGGGACACAGAAUCACUUGCUCCAUCUCAUACAUUGAUGAUGAUUAAUUUGUAUGUGUACCUUCCAAAAAAGAUGGUUGUGUUUGAAUGGAGGCCUUCUGGACAGGAAAAUGAUGGAGAGUGCGUGCUUUGGAUUCAAGACUGGGAAUGAGGGGACCAGAAACCUAUUCUGUGGCUGUUUCUUGUUAGGACUUUCCUAAGCCUCUGGAAAAGGGUUCAAUCCUGCUGAUGCUCUCCAUGGAGAUGGUCAGCAAGGUGCAAAGUACAAUUAACAUUUGAGUCUGUCUGAGUCAUGAAGAAAUGGAGAUUACUGAAAAUAAUUCAUUUUGGUAUCUUCUUACAUCCUGAGAGACUAAUCUUUCCAAGUUCAUCUGAGGCUCCUCUUCUCCAUGACAACCUCAUCCAGGGAUUUCUUCCUGUCCUGGUGUUUUA